Non-coding RNA from Xenia sp. Carnegie-2017, 73 nucleotides. The record is from the annotation of a RefSeq genome assembly. NCBI's taxonomy places the organism in Eukaryota, Metazoa, Cnidaria, Anthozoa, Malacalcyonacea, Xeniidae.
GCCUUAUUAGCUCAGAGGUUAGAGCAUUGGUCUCGUAAACCAAGGGUCCAGAGUUCAAUUCUCUGAUGAGACU